Molecule: ribosomal RNA, 253 nt
Filed under: uncultured bacterium
Lineage: Bacteria
Description: partial 16S ribosomal RNA
Rfam family: Bacterial small subunit ribosomal RNA
Source: RNAcentral
GACGAACCGAGCGAACGUUGUUCGGAAUCACUGGGCUUAAAGGGCGCGUAGGCGGGUGCUCAAGUCCGUGGUGAAAUCCUCCGGCUCAACCGGAGAACUGCCUCGGAUACUGGGUGCCUCGAGGGUGGUAGGGGUAUGCGGAACUAUCGGUGGAGCGGUGAAAUGCGUUGAUAUCGAUAGGAACUCCGGUGGCGAAGGCGGCAUACUGGACCGGCAUUGACGCUGAGGAGCGAAAGCCAGGGGAGCAAACGGG